This 503-nucleotide ribosomal RNA is filed under the name uncultured bacterium. RNAcentral describes it as "bacterial SSU rRNA". It matches the Rfam family "Bacterial small subunit ribosomal RNA", at positions 15 to 518 of the family's 1533-position model. The record is from RNAcentral.
GAUUAUGGCUCAGGAUGAACGCUGGCGGCGUGCCUAACACAUGCAAGUCGAACGGGGUUACUGGCAGCGGAGAUUCGGUCAAAGCAGCUUUAACCUAGUGGCGGACGGGUGAGUAACGCGUGGGGAACCUGCCCUGUACUGGGGGAUAACAGUGAGAAAUCACUGCUAAUACCGCAUAAGCGCACAGCAUCGCAUGAUGCAGUGUGAAAAACUGAGGUGGUACAGGAUGGCUCCGCGUUGGAUUAGCCAGUUGGCGGGUAACGGCCCACCAAAGCGACGAUCCCAUAGCCGGCCUGAGAGGGUGAACGGCCACAUCGGGACUGAGACACGGCCCAGACUCCUACGGGAGGCAGCAGUGGGGAAUAUUGCACAAUGGGGGAAACCCUGAUGCAGCCGACGCCGCGUGAAGGAAGAAGUAUCUCGGUAUGUAAACUUCUAUCAGCAGGGAAGAUGAUGACGGUACCUGACUAAGAAGCCCCGGCUAACUACGUGCCAGCAGCGGC